GAAUUACUGGGCGUAAAGCGCGCGUAGGCGGAUAAUUAAGUCAGAUGUGAAAUCCCUGGGCUCAACCUAGGAACUGCAUUUGAUACUGGUUAUCUAGAGUAUGGUAGAGGUGAGUGGAAUUUCAGGUGUAGCGGUGAAAUGCGUAGAGAUCUGAAGGAACAUCAGUGGCGAAGGCGACUCACUGGGCCAUUACUGACGCUGAGGUGCGAAAGCGUGGGUAGCAAACAGGAUUAGAUACCCUGGUAGUCCACGCCCUAAACGAUGUCAACUAGGUGUGUGAGAGUCUAACUCUUUGCGUAUCGAAGCUAACGCGAUAAGUUGACCGCCUGGGGAGUACGGUCGCAAGACUAAAACUCAAAUGAAUUGACGGGGGCCCGCACAAGCGGUGGAGCAUGUGGUUUAAUUCGAUGC
Molecule: ribosomal RNA, 411 nt
Filed under: uncultured bacterium
Lineage: Bacteria
Description: bacterial SSU rRNA
Rfam family: Bacterial small subunit ribosomal RNA
Source: RNAcentral